Molecule: long non-coding RNA, 438 nt
Filed under: Hordeum vulgare
Lineage: Eukaryota; Viridiplantae; Streptophyta; Magnoliopsida; Poales; Poaceae
Description: long non-coding RNA (HVUL_LNC018692)
Source: RNAcentral
GUGGCAGCCCUACCUCUCCCAUAACUCCGUUUUCUCCUCAGAUCGGUUCCGGCAGCGCUUGGCGAGGCCCUGCUGGCACUGCUCCACCAUCAUCUCCACCAUGCCGUUGUGCUGGUUGAGAUCCCAUCUACUUCUCCUUCCUCUCUUGCUGGAUCAAUAAGAAGGGACAAUGAAGCGGACGACGCCGGCGGUCGCGUGUGAUGACGAUGAGGUGGAGGACACUGGUGGCCGCGCGUGACGACCAUGAUCGGGACGAUGCCGGUGGCCGCACACGAUGACCGAGGCGGAGGACGCCGGUGGCCGCGCACGACAACGAUGAGGCAACGAACGUCGGUGGCUGCGCACGACGACCAUAAGGCGCAGGACGCGGGUGGCCGCGCAUGACAACCAUGAGGCGGACGACGCCGGUGGUUGAAGGAAUAACCAUAUGCAUCAUGG